Non-coding RNA from Parelaphostrongylus tenuis, 73 nucleotides. The record is from the annotation of a GenBank genome assembly. Lineage: Eukaryota; Metazoa; Nematoda; Chromadorea; Rhabditida; Metastrongylidae.
GCGUCGGUAAUGCAACGGUUCAGCACAUUCUCUCGGAUAGAUUAAGAUCUGGGUUCGAAUUCCGGCUGACGCA